UUGAUUUACCCGUUGUUGAUUGGAAGUUGGAAACUGAUAUUCGAAAGAAACGAUUGCUUAAUUACAGUAUUGAUUUUGGAAUCUGUAUAUUUUGUGGUAAUUGCGUUGAGUAUUGUCCAACAAAUUGUUUAUCAAUGACUGAAGAAUAUAUCAAUUUGCAGUAUUUGCAAGCUUGUUCAAGUGUUCCUUGACAGGUAAAAAAAAAUGACUGAAGAAUAUGAACUUUCUAAUUAUGAUCGAUACGAAUUGAAUUAUAAUCAAAUCGCUUUGGGUCGCUUACCAAU
Molecule: long non-coding RNA, 284 nt
Filed under: Nicotiana tabacum (common tobacco)
Lineage: Eukaryota; Viridiplantae; Streptophyta; Magnoliopsida; Solanales; Solanaceae
Description: long non-coding RNA (NTAB_LNC004441)
Source: RNAcentral